GACGUGGCACCGACGUCGAACGAUGUCGAUCAACCCUUCGACGACGGACAGUAAGUUUUUUCAUUUAAUCCAUACAAUUUUUCACGAUUUCAUUGUACAUUGAUACAAUACCUAUUGAAAGGUUUAUUAAUAGAUCAAGACAACACCGGAUAUGCUGGCGAUGACUCUAGUAGUGAUGAUGAAUCUUCGUUAUUCAAUGCAAAUAAAUCACUCGGACAUAACUAUAUGAGUCAGGAUGAAUCAUAUAGUGGUAAUGUAAGUGUUGUGUACGUUGACUAUAAAUAAUGAAAAUAUAAGUUAUUACAUUAACACUUACAAUUGCUAUUGAAUUUAAAUAGGUGCAUGCUAUUGAUGACAAUGACGAUUAUGACAGCGAUGAUCAAUCUUAUGCUGAAAGUGGAACCCAGGUAUGUUUUAAAUAUGUUGUUGUAUUAUUACUAACAUACAAAUUGUAUUACCACUUACACUUCUGAAUCUGCACAGAGAAAUACCGAUGGUGACGCUGAGACGAGAACCUUACAUGAUGACAAUGAUGAGAAUGAUGACAAUAAUGAGGAUGAUAACAAUGAUGAGGAUGGUGAUAAUG
Molecule: long non-coding RNA, 586 nt
Filed under: Hordeum vulgare
Lineage: Eukaryota; Viridiplantae; Streptophyta; Magnoliopsida; Poales; Poaceae
Description: long non-coding RNA (HVUL_LNC019765)
Source: RNAcentral